Molecule: non-coding RNA, 1361 nt
Organism: Odocoileus virginianus texanus
Lineage: Eukaryota; Metazoa; Chordata; Mammalia; Artiodactyla; Cervidae
Source: RefSeq, a predicted model, not a curated record
AUGGACACUGAGAGCCGCCGGGUGAGGGAAGACCAGGAGAGAAUGGUGGAAAGAGAAACAACGCCAUUUCACUACAAUAGAAGGCAGAGCACUGGGCCACAGCUCCAGACCCGGCCCCUAGUGCUCCAUUUUACUGCUAAAUACUCGCAUGACUUGAAAACGUCACAAGUUCCCUGCAACUGUUCUCAUUCACCCGUAUAUCUGAAGAACCAUUCGGGCGGCUGUAUUGAGAACAGACUGCCAAAGCCAGGGGCAGAAGCAGGACAGACAGUUAGAAAAAUCCCGGGUGAAAGGUCAGGCAGCUCAAACCAAGGUAAGGGCAGCAGGAUCACUAAUGCUGAUCCUAGCGCGCGAAGCCCGCGAGGCGACCAGGAGCGGCUGGGUCCCCGGUGGCGCGCCCCUCGGUCGGGCGGGGAGCCUCGCCAGUCGGUGCACCCAGCCGAGCGUGGUCCGCCUCCCUCCCAGAAAUCAGCCAUUCGGAGCGUGACCAGAGGGCAUGCCGGAUCCACCAGAGGCGCCGCUGCCUGCGCUCGCAGGCUGCGGGUGAAAAAGAAGGCACGGCCUCGCUCGGCCCGGAGCGAAGAGGUGGCCGGGAGCGAAGAAAUGGCGGCAGCCGGGCUCAGCGUGACCAUCACUCACAGCAAUGAGAAGCACGAUCUUCAAGUUACCCCACAAGAAGGCAAUAGUGAGCCAAUUGUCCAAGACCUGGCCCAGGUUGUUGAAGAGGCUACAGGGAUUCCGCUGCCUUUUCAGAAACUCAUAUUUAAGGGAAAAUCUCGGAAGGAAAUGGAGAUGCCAUUGUCAGCACUUGGAAUACAAAAUGGUUGCCGGGUUAUGUUAAUUGGGAAAAAGAACGGUCCGGAGGAAGAAGCUAAGCUAAAGAAGCUGAAAGAUUUGGAAAAAUCUGUGGAGAAGAUAGCUGACCAGCUGGAAGAACUGAAAUAAGACCUUGCUGGAAUCCAGCAGGGUUUUCUGGCCAAGGAUUUGCAAGCUGAAGCUCUCUGCAAACUUGAUAGGAGAGUUAAAGCCACAAUCGAGCAGUUUAUGAAGAUCUUGGAGGAGACUGACAUGCUAAUUCUGCCAGAAAAUUUCAAAGACAGUACAAUGAAAAGGAAGGGUUUGGUGAAAAGGAUUCAGGCCUUCCUAGCUGAGUGUGACACAGUGGAGCAGAACAUCUGCCAGGAGACCCAGUGACCUCAGUCCACGAACGUGGCCCUCGCUGACUGAGGUGAGGCAGAGAAGGCCGUGCUGCAGUGAAGAACAGCCCCACCAGCUCUGCCAUCUCUGGAGCAGAAGUCACCCGCCUUCCCCAGAGCUGCUGGGGGCAACUGGCCCAUUGCCUUUCCCUUCUCUCACACCUG